ACGCUGGCGGCGUGCCUAAUACAUGCAAGUCGAGCGAGCUGAAUUCAAAGAUCCCUUCGGGGUGAUUUGUUGGACGCUAGCGGCGGAUGGGUGAGUAACACGUGGGCAAUCUGCCCUAAAGACUGGGAUACCGCUUGGAAACAGGUGCUAAUACCGGAUAACAACAUGAAUCGCAUGAUUCAAGUUUGAAAGGCGGCGUAAGCUGUCACUUUAGGAUGAGCCCGCGGCGCAUUAGCUAGUUGGUGGGGUAAAGGCCUACCAAGGCAAUGAUGCGUAGCCGAGUUGAGAGACUGAUCGGCCACAUUGGGACUGAGACACGGCCCAAACUCCUACGGGAGGCAGCAGUAGGGAAUCUUCCACAAUGGACGCAAGUCUGAUGGAGCAACGCCGCGUGAGUGAAGAAGGUUUUCGGAUCGUAAAGCUCUGUUGUUGGUGAAGAAGGAUAGAGGCAGUAACUGGUCUUUAUUUGACGGUAAUCAACCAGAAAGUCACGGCUAACUACGUGCCAGCAGCCGCGGUAAUACGUAGGUGGCAAGCGUUGUCCGGAUUUAUUGGGCGUAAAGCGAGCGCAGGCGGAAUGAUAAGUCUGAUGUGAAAGCCCACGGCUCAGCCGUGGAACUGCAUCGGAAACUGUCAUUCUUGAGUGCAGAAGAGGAGAGUGGAACUCCAUGUGUAGCGGUGGAAUGCGUAGAUAUAUGGAAGAACACCAGUGGCGAAGGCGGCUCUCUGGUCUGCAACUGACGCUGAGGCUCGAAAGCAUGGGUAGCGAACAGGAUUAGAUACCCUGGUAGUCCAUGCCGUAAACGAUGAGCGCUAGGUGUUGGGGACUUUCCGGUCCUCAGUGCCGCAGCAUACGCAUUAAGCGCUCCGCCUGGGGAGUACGACCGCAAGGUUGAAACUCAAAGGAAUU
Molecule: ribosomal RNA, 910 nt
Filed under: uncultured bacterium
Lineage: Bacteria
Description: bacterial SSU rRNA
Rfam family: Bacterial small subunit ribosomal RNA
Source: RNAcentral